RNAcentral lists this ribosomal RNA (634 nucleotides) under uncultured Actinomycetes bacterium. Its description in RNAcentral is "bacterial SSU rRNA". It matches the Rfam family "Bacterial small subunit ribosomal RNA", at positions 8 to 653 of the family's 1533-position model. The record is from RNAcentral. Lineage: Bacteria; Bacillati; Actinomycetota; Actinomycetes.
AGAGUUUGAUCCUGGCUCAGGAUGAACGCUGGCGGCGUGCUUAACACAUGCAAGUCGAACGAUGAUCCGGUGCUUGCACCGGGGAUUAGUGGCGAACGGGUGAGUAACACGUGAGUAACCUGCCCUUAACUCUGGGAUAAGCCUGGGAAACUGGGUCUAAUACCGGAUAUGACUCCUCAUCGCAUGGUGGGGGGUGGAAAGCUUUAUUGUGGUUUUGGAUGGACUCGCGGCCUAUCAGCUUGUUGGUGAGGUAAUGGCUCACCAAGGCGACGACGGGUAGCCGGCCUGAGAGGGUGACCGGCCACACUGGGACUGAGACACGGCCCAGACUCCUACGGGAGGCAGCAGUGGGGAAUAUUGCACAAUGGGCGCAAGCCUGAUGCAGCGACGCCGCGUGAGGGAUGACGGCCUUCGGGUUGUAAACCUCUUUCAGUAGGGAAGAAGCGAAAGUGACGGUACCUGCAGAAGAAGCGCCGGCUAACUACGUGCCAGCAGCCGCGGUAAUACGUAGGGCGCAAGCGUUAUCCGGAAUUAUUGGGCGUAAAGAGCUCGUAGGCGGUUUGUCGCGUCUGCCGUGAAAGUCCGGGGCUCAACUCCGGAUCUGCGGUGGGUACGGGCAGACUAGAGUGAUGUA